GCGCGCGGGCGCGGGGGCGGGGCGCGGCGGGGCGCUUGCGGCUGCUGUCUGGGAGGGAGGCCGGGCAGGCGGCGGAGCUGCGCGGCGCGGCUCACAACCUGACGGGGAAGUGGUCCGGGCGUCCGCGGCUGACUGCCCCGUGGUGGACGGACGGACGACGGAGGCGGGAGGUGGGAGCCAAGCCGGGCGCCCGAGAAAGCUAGCGGGUCAGGCUCAGCGUCGGCGACCCUAGUCGGUCCGCUGAAUGAAGUGCCCGCCCCGCUGAGCCCGGAGCCCGGCGCUUUCCCCGCAAGAUGGACGGUUUCGCCGGCAGCCUCGAUGAUAGUAUUUCUGCUGCAAGUACUUCUGAUGUGCAAGAUCGCCUCUCAGCCCUUGAGUUACGAGUUCAGCAACAAGAAGAUGAAAUCACUGUGCUAAAGGCAGCUUUGGCUGAUGUUUUGAGGCGUCUUACAAUCUCUGAAGAUCAUGUAGCCUCAGUGAAAAAAUCAGUCCCAAGUAAAGGCCAGCCAGGCAUUCGAGAAGCUAUUUCCAUGUCCUGUAUAACCAAUGGGAGUGGUGCAAGUAGAAAACCAAGUCACACCAGCUCUGUUUCAAUCGCAAGAAAAGAAACUCUUUCAUCUGCUGCUAAAAGUGGUACAGAAAAAAAGAAAGAAAAACCACAAGGACAGAGAGAAAAAAAAGAGGACUCUCACUCUAAUGAUCAAAGUCCACAAAUUCGAGCAUCACCUUCUCCCCAGCCCUCUUCACAGCCUCUCCAAAUACACAGACAAACUCAAGAAAGCAAGAAUUCUACUCCCACCAAAAGCAUAAAACGACCACCAACAGCUGAAAAGUCACAUAAUUCAUGGGAAAAUUCAGACGAUACCCGUAAUAAAUUACUGAGGGCAGUUUCAACAUCAAAAUUAAUAUCAAAAGUUAUAAAAAAUGCAGACAAGCAUAAAGAUGUCAUCAUCAACCAAGCAAAAAUGUCAACCCGUGAAAAAAACAGCCAAGAAGGAGAAUAUGUUAAAAUGUUUAUGCGAGGUCGACCAAUUACAAUGUUCAUUCCUUCUGAUGUUGACAACUAUGAUGACAUCAGAACAGAGCUGCCUCCUGAGAAGCUCAAACUGGAGUGGGUAUAUGGUUAUCGAGGAAAGGACUGUCGAGCUAAUGUUUACCUUCUUCCUACCGGGGAAAUCGUUUAUUUCAUAGCAUCAGUAGUAGUACUAUUUAAUUAUGAGGAGAGAACUCAACGACACUACCUGGGUCAUACAGACUGUGUGAAAUGCCUUGCUAUACAUCCUGACAAAAUUAGGAUUGCAACUGGACAGAUAGCUGGAGUGGAUAAGGAUGGAAGGCCCCUGCAACCCCAUGUCAGAGUGUGGGAUUCAGUUAGUCUAUCUACACUGCAGAUUAUUGGACUUGGAACUUUUGAGCGUGGAGUAGGAUGCCUGGAUUUUUCAAAAGCAGAUUCAGGUGUUCAUUUAUGUGUUAUUGAUGACUCCAAUGAACAUAUGCUUACUGUAUGGGAUUGGCAGAAGAAAUCAAAAGGAGCAGAAAUAAAGACAACAAAUGAAGUUGUUUUGGCUGUGGAAUUCCAUCCAACAGAUGCAAAUACCAUAAUAACCUGUGGUAAAUCUCACAUUUUUUUCUGGACCUGGAGUGGCAAUUCACUAACAAGAAAACAGGGAGUUUUUGGGAAAUAUGAAAAACCAAAAUUUGUGCAGUGUUUGACAUUCUUGGGGAAUGGAGAUGUUCUUACUGGAGACUCAGGUGGAGUCAUACUUAUAUGGAGCAAAACUACUGUAGAACCCACACCUGGGAAAGGGCCUAAAGGUGUUUAUCAGAUCAGCAAACAAAUCAAAGCUCAUGAUGGCAGUGUGUUCACACUUUGUCAGAUGAGAAAUGGUAUGUUAUUAACUGGAGGCGGGAAAGACAGAAAAAUAAUUCUGUGGGAUCAUGAUCUGAAUCCUGAAAGAGAAAUAGAGGUUCCUGAUCAGUAUGGAACAAUCAGAGCUGUAGCAGAAGGGAAGGCAGAUCAAUUUUUGGUAGGCACAUCACGAAACUUUAUUUUACGGGGAACGUUUAACGAUGGCUUCCAAAUAGAAGUACAGGGUCAUACUGAUGAGCUUUGGGGUCUUGCCACGCAUCCCUUCAAAGAUUUGCUCUUGACAUGUGCUCAGGACAGACAGGUGUGCAUGUGGAACUCGGUGGAACACAGGCUGGAAUGGACCAGGCUCGUAGAUGAACCAGGACACUGUGCAGAUUUUCAUCCAAGUGGCACAGUGGUGGCCAUAGGAACGCACUCAGGCAGGUGGUUUGUUCUGGAUGCAGAAACCAGAGAUCUAGUUUCUAUCCACACAGACGGGAAUGAACAGCUCUCUGUGAUGCGCUACUCAUUAGAUGGCACCUUCCUGGCUGUGGGAUCUCAUGACAACUUUAUUUACCUCUAUGUAGUCUCAGAAAAUGGAAGAAAGUACAGCAGACAUGGAAAGUGCACUGGACAUUCCAGCUAUAUCACACACCUUGACUGGUCUCCAGACAACAAGUACAUAAUGUCUAACUCGGGAGACUAUGAGAUCCUGUACUGGGACAUUCCAAAUGGCUGCAAACUAAUCAGGAAUCGAUCAGAUUGUAAGGACAUCGAUUGGACGACAUACACCUGUGUGCUAGGCUUUCAAGUCUUUGGUGUCUGGCCAGAAGGAUCUGAUGGGACAGAUAUCAAUGCACUGGUGCGAUCCCACAAUAGAAAGGUGAUAGCUGUUGCUGAUGACUUUUGCAAAGUCCAUCUGUUUCAGUAUCCCUGCUCCAAAGCAAAGGCUCCCAGUCACAAGUACAGUGCCCACAGCAGCCAUGUCACCAAUGUCAGUUUUACUCAUAAUGACAGUCACCUGAUUUCAACUGGUGGAAAAGACAUGAGCAUCAUUCAGUGGAAACUUGUGGAAAAGUUAUCUUUGCCUCAAAAUGAGAUUGUAGCUGAUACCGCGCUCACCAAAGCCCCCAUCUCUUCCACUGAAAGUGUCAGGCAGUCAGAUGCUCCCACACCACCUCCUUCCCAGCCCGUAAACGAGACAGCUGAAGAAGAGAGCAGGAUAAGCAGUUCUCCCACGCUUCUGGAGAACAGCCUGGAGCAGACUGCGGGGCCCAGCGAAGACCACAGUGAGGAGCAGAGUGAGGGGGGCAGCGAAGACCUCGGUGAGCCUGCUUGUGAAGAGCCAGCCCCCGAGAUGAGCGAGGGGCAGAGCGCAGGCGCUCUUCCCGGGGACCAGCGAGACCCUUCACCCCUGCCCUAACGCCAGGACUUCAGUGCGGCUCGCUUUUUCCUUCAACUGCAUGAUGUGCUCUUGCGAUAAAGUUCAGAUAACAGGCCAGAAGUGAUGGAGAAUCACUAUUGAUGGAGAUUUUGGUUUCCACGUAAUCUGUUUUCAAUAGUCUUAUCUUCCGUCUCUUAAAUGCAGUCGACCUAAAGAUCAUGUUUAGAAACUUUGGAUGAGUUCAAAAGUCUUAAGUAUGCAAGUGUUUACGUGACUGUGCCAUUCCAAAGUGCAUCAGAACUGUCAUUCCCUUCUACUGUCUUCUCAGGAGUAAUACAAAUCAGGUAUUUCAUCAUCAUUUGGUAAUACACAAACUUCAGUGAACUCCCAAGGACACUCACAACAUUUGUAUUCACAUGCUGUAUGUAAGGGUGUGGGUAUGUGUGAAGGGGUGAGUGUAGACACUCACUCUGUGUGUGUAUCUCUAUAUAAGAAGAUAUGCGCCACAUUGAAAAUACUCAGUGUGUUAUCUCUGUGUAUAGAUAUAUGUCCAUGUAUUUCUCUUUCCUCUUGUUUACAACUGUUCAAAAAAAAAAAAAAACCUCAAAGUAGUUCUCUUCAAAAGAAGGGAGGUAGACUCCAAGCAACCCAUCAUUUUUCAGUAUGUUUGUACAUAAUUAUCAGAGAGCAGCAGUAGUAUCAGGCAUAUAUAUUUGCCUGUUAGCUGUGGUGACUGAAUCAUCAGGUCGGCAUGUGCUAUAUACCCUGCAAGAAAAAUACUAUGAGAUGAACAAGUAAUUCUAGGAGAAGAAAAAGCAUUUCGUUAAGUACCUGGGGGAUACCACUCUCCAUGAUAAGCAGGGAGUUUAUUUGGGGACAUCAGUCACCUUUGGGGUUGCUGUGUACCAUGAAAUUUAUAUUCGUGAUAUCUUGGGUGGUAGUUUCAAAAGACACUACUAAUACGCAGAAAGCGUUCCAGCUCUCUAUUGCUGGCAACUACUGUUUAACAGUCAAUUAAAUCUGUGAUAAUGGUUGGAAGUGGGUGGGAUUAUGAAAUUGUAGAUGUUUUUAGAAAAACUUGUGAAUGAAAAUGAAUCCAAGUGUUUCAUGUGAAGAUGUUGAGCCAUUUCUAUCAUGCAUUCCUGUCUUAUGGCAGAAAAUUUUGAAGAUUAAAAAAUAAAAUAAGAUGUUUCAUUUGUCUCUCUAAAUGUGUCUUGGGUCUU
RNA transcript from Balaenoptera acutorostrata (minke whale), 4456 nucleotides. It is a transcript of the gene named EMAP like 4, with no coding region annotated. The record is from RefSeq and is a predicted model, not a curated record. The transcript has 25 exons. NCBI's taxonomy places the organism in Eukaryota, Metazoa, Chordata, Mammalia, Artiodactyla, Balaenopteridae.